RNAcentral lists this ribosomal RNA (425 nucleotides) under Deckertichthys aureolus (golden mojarra). RNAcentral's name for it is "partial 12S ribosomal RNA". It matches the Rfam family "Bacterial small subunit ribosomal RNA", at positions 772 to 1398 of the family's 1533-position model. The record is from RNAcentral. Lineage: Eukaryota; Metazoa; Chordata; Actinopteri; Gerreiformes; Gerreidae.
CUGGGAUUAGAUACCCCACUAUGCCUAGCCGUAAACAUAAAUAGCACGUUACAUUGCUAUUCGCCCGGGUACUACGAGCACCAGCUUAAAACCCAAAGGACUUGGCGGUGCUUCAGACCCCCCUAGAGGAGCCUGUUCCAGAACCGACACUACCCGUUCAACCUCACCCUUCCUAGUUCUUUUUCCGUCUAUAUACCGCCGUCGCAAGCUUACCCUCUGAGGGUACCGUAGUAAGCUCAAUCGGCACAGCCCAGAACGUCAGGUCGAGGUGUAGCUUAUGGAAGGGGCCGGAAAUGGGCUACAUUCCCUGGUACAGGGAACACGGAUAUUACGUUGAAACACGUAAUUGAAGGUGGAUUUAGCAGUAAGCAGCAAGUAGAGUGUCCUGCUGAAGCCGGCAAUGAAGCGCGUACACACCGCCCGUC